UUUAGAGNAAGUAAAAGUCGUACAAGGUCUCCGUAGGUGAACCUGCGGAGGGAUCAUUACACAACAAAAUAUGAAGGCCCUGGCUUCGCGGCCGGCUGAAAUAUUUUUUCACCCAUGUCUUUUGCGCACUUGUUGUUUCCUGGGCGGGUUUGCCCGCCACCAGGACCAAACCAUAAACCUUUUUUUUUAUGCAGUUACCAUCAGCGUCAGUAAAAACAAUGUAAUUAAUUACAACUUUCAACAACGGAUCUCUUGGUUCUGGCAUCGAUGAAGAACGCAGCGAAAUGCGAUACGUAGUGUGAAUUGCAGAAUUCAGUGAAUCAUCGAAUCUUUGAACGCACAUUGCGCCCUUUGGUAUUCCAAAGGGCAUGCCUGUUCGAGCGUCAUUUGUACCUUCAAGCUUUGCUUGGUGUUGGGCGUUUUUGUCUCCCUCUUUCUGGGAGACUCGCCUUAAAACGAUUGGCAGCCGGCCUACUGGUUUCGGAGCGCAGCACAUAAUUUGCGCUUUGUAUCAGGAGAAAAGGACGGUAAUCCAUCAAGACU
The sequence is a ribosomal RNA, 543 nucleotides long. The stretch from base 233 to 386 matches the Rfam family "5.8S ribosomal RNA".